Glycine soja is the source of this 1502-nucleotide RNA transcript. It is a transcript of the gene named NAD(P)H-dependent 6'-deoxychalcone synthase-like, with no coding region annotated. The record is from RefSeq and is a predicted model, not a curated record. The transcript is spliced from 4 exons. Lineage: Eukaryota; Viridiplantae; Streptophyta; Magnoliopsida; Fabales; Fabaceae.
AAAUUUCAUAAUAUAGUUCAGGCAUUAUGGAGAGAGUUGUAUACUCCAGGGAAACAACCUGAGAAAGUGUGCACCUCGGUCAAAAAACCUGCCGGCACUCGUAUCUGAGACACCGUGUUCAAUUCGGAUCCAAAAAUCUGAUUUAUCGGGUCUCUUCCCAACUCCCCCACCUCCAACCAACUUCCACCAGUAGUAAACAGAAAUACAAGCAUAAGCAAAAGAAGACCCGCGACACAUCGCAACAUCGUAUCAUGUCUGCAACAAACGUCCCCAAAGUGCUGUUACAACUACAACCACCCUCCAAAUCGAACCCACUCUGCGUGCCGGUGAUAGGACUCGGCACCGCCGCGGUCCACAACGACGGUGACACGGUGAAGGCUGCAGUCAUAGAGGCUAUCAAACUCGGUUACAGACACUUCGACACCGCGGCACAGUACGGAUCGGAGCAGGCUCUUGGAGAAGCCAUUGCCGAAGCACUUCGUGUUGGUCUCAUAGCCUCAAGAGACGAGCUUUUCAUCACUUCCAAGUUAUGGUGUUGUGAUAAUCAUCCCCAUCUUGUUCUUCCUGCUCUACAAAAUUCGCUUCGGUCUCUUAAAUUAGAUUAUUUGGACCUAUAUUUAAUCCAUUGGCCAAUUACUGCAAAGCCUGGAAUGUAGGAGAUGCCUUAUUCUGAAGAGAGCCUUGUUCCAUUUGACGUAAAGAGUGUGUGGGCAGCAAUGGAAGAAUGUCACAAACUUGGCCUUACCAAAUCAAUUGGAGUUAGCAACUUCUCUUGCAAGAAACUUGAAAAUCUUCUCUCUUUUGCUACAAUUCCUCCUUCUGUCAAUCAAGUGGAGAUGAAUAUUGCCUGGCAGCAAAAGAAUCUUAGAGCAUACUGCAAGGCAAAGGGUAUAAUUGUGACUGCCUACUCUCCUUUGGGAGCCAAAGGGAGCAAAUGGGAUAUCAAUCAAAUUUUGGACAAUGAAUUGACCAAGCAGAUUGCACAGGCUCAUGGCAAAACUGCAGCUCAGGUAUGUCUUAGAUGGUUAUUUGAGCAAGGUGUGACUUUCAUACCAAAGAGCUACAAUAAAGAGAGAUUAAAGGAAAAUUUAGAGAUAUUUGAUUGGUCACUCACCAAAGAUGACCAUGAAAAGAUUAAUCAAGUCAAACAGGAGCGUAUGUUCAAGUACGGAACAGCAGCAUUCCCGCUUCCUGAUCUAUUUGAUGGGGAAACUUAGUAAUACAUUAUCAGCUUCAAUAUUCCAUUUUCCUUGAGAUUUAGGUUUCUCGUGUCUGUGACACAAUAAAAGGAUGAAGUGUAAUCUGUCUUUAGAAUACCCUUAAAGAAACUCAAAAUUGAAAUCACUGGUUUCACUUUUUGUGGGAAGUUUGUUUACAGCAAUGUUAUGCUUUUCUUCCAUGUAAUUUUAUGUGCUACACUGUUUUAUCUGUUGAAAUGUAAUUGUAAUUCAAGCUACAGGCAUCCAAUAAAAACUAGACUGUUUAUAGUUUAUCCACUUUUA